CCUACGGGAGGCAGCAGUGGGGAAUUUUGGACAAUGGGCGAAAGCCUGAUCCAGCAAUGCCGCGUGAGUGAAGAAGGCCUUCGGGUUGUAAAGCUCUUUUGUCAGGGAAGAAACGGUGAAGGCUAAUAUCCUUUGCUAAUGACGGUACCUGAAGAAUAAGCACCGGCUAACUACGUGCCAGCAGCCGCGGUAAUACGUAGGGUGCAAGCGUUAAUCGGAAUUACUGGGCGUAAAGCGUGCGCAGGCGGUUUUGUAAGUCUGAUGUGAAAUCCCCGGGCUCAACCUGGGAAUUGCAUUGGAGACUGCAAGGCUAGAAUCUGGCAGAGGGGGGUAGAAUUCCACGUGUAGCAGUGAAAUGCGUAGAUAUGUGGAGGAACACCGAUGGCGAAGGCAGCCCCCUGGGUCAAGAUUGACGCUCAUGCACGAAAGCGUGGGGAGCAAACAGGAUUAGGAUACCCUGGUAGUCCACGCCCUAAACGAUGUCUACUAGUUGUCGGGUCUUAAUUGACUUGGUAACGCAGCUAACGCGUGAAGUAGACCGCCUGGGGAUACGGUCGCAAGNUUAAACUCAAAUGAAUUGACCGGNNGAGAGNGCGAGNGACGACGAGGAGAGG
This 614-nucleotide ribosomal RNA is filed under the name uncultured bacterium. Its description in RNAcentral is "bacterial SSU rRNA". It matches the Rfam family "Bacterial small subunit ribosomal RNA", at positions 338 to 945 of the family's 1533-position model. The record is from RNAcentral.